GUAGGGUGCAAGCGUUAUCCGGAAUCAUUGGGCGUAAAGAGCUCGUAGGCGGUUCAGCAAGUCGGCUGUGAAAUCCCGAGGCUUAACCUCGGAACUGCAGUCGAUACUGCUGUGACUAGAGUCCGGUAGAGGAGAAUGGAAUUCCCGGUGUAGCGGUGAAAUGCGCAGAUAUCGGGAGGAACACCAGUAGCGAAGGCGGUUCUCUGGGCCGGUACUGACGCUGAGGAGCGAAAGCGUGGGGUAGCAAACAGGAUUAGAUACCCUGGUAGUCCACGCCGUAAACGUUGGACGCUAGGUGUGGCGUUCCGACCAACGGGUGCCGUGCCGAAGCUAACGCAUUAAGUGUCCCCGCCUGGGGAGUACGGCCGCAAGGCUA
Molecule: ribosomal RNA, 376 nt
Filed under: uncultured organism
Description: partial 16S ribosomal RNA
Rfam family: Bacterial small subunit ribosomal RNA
Source: RNAcentral